GACGCGGUGGCGCAACGGUAGCGCGUCUGACUCCAGAUCAGAAGGCUGCGUGUUCAAAUCACGUCCGGGUCA
This 72-nucleotide transfer RNA is filed under the name Araneus ventricosus. It matches the Rfam family "tRNA". Rfam says of the family: Transfer RNA (tRNA) molecules are approximately 80 nucleotides in length. Their secondary structure includes four short double-helical elements and three loops (D, anti-codon, and T loops). Further hydrogen bonds mediate the characteristic L-shaped molecular structure. tRNAs have two regions of fundamental functional importance: the anti-codon, which is responsible for specific mRNA codon recognition, and the 3' end, to which the tRNAs corresponding amino acid is attached (by aminoacyl-tRNA synthetases). tRNAs cope with the degeneracy of the genetic code in two manners: having more than one tRNA (with a specific anti-codon) for a particular amino acid; and 'wobble' base-pairing, i.e. permitting non-standard base-pairing at the 3rd anti-codon position. Lineage: Eukaryota; Metazoa; Arthropoda; Arachnida; Araneae; Araneidae. The record is from Rfam by way of RNAcentral.